This is a long non-coding RNA of Stomoxys calcitrans (stable fly), 2432 nucleotides long. RefSeq lists it as uncharacterized. NCBI's taxonomy places the organism in Eukaryota, Metazoa, Arthropoda, Insecta, Diptera, Muscidae. The transcript is spliced from 7 exons. The record is from RefSeq and is a predicted model, not a curated record.
ACCUUCAUUAAUUUAAUUUGAUACCGUUGCAGCAGACCGACAACGCGGGAAAUAAUUUUCAAUAAAUGAAAAAAGGAUCUCCAUGAUCCAUGCAGACUGUGGUCCAGCACUGUGACGAACUGGUAAGUGCCAAGUAGAUGGUUCACCUCGGUGUAUCCUCUAUGACUUCCCACAGCCGCCUCCCUCACUCAUCGCGGCAUCCCUCGCUCCAUGUCCCAGUAGCCAUUGCAACAGAGAGACGGGUUGACCCAUCGCGAUGUCUUCAUGAGGCUCUACCGUGGUUGAGUGACUCCCGGGGCCGUCUCCCGCGGAAACUCGCGCUCCAUGUCCAAGAUGCCAUAGUGAUAGAAAGACGGGUCGGCCCAUCGCGAGGACGCCAGUGAGCUCUCCCGCGGUCGAGGCACCCCAGAAGCUGGCAGAGAGAAGUAGCAUGAACCAGCUCGUAAUCCUGCUCACAUCACACUACCGGACCACUCUCAGCUGUUUCGCACACGCGAGAGUGUAAGACCACGAGACCAUUUCAACAACGUCAUCCCCAGAUACAGGUAAGACCCUGGUAAGUAUCAAGGCUAUAUUUCAGCUUCAUUUGAAAACAAUGAUAGGCAAGUAUACACACUCACACUAUUGCACGUUUUGUUUACGUGCACACGAACAUUAGCCCAUGGGCUGAAAAAUAUAUGCACAUUUAUAUAUGUGUGCCCACUCCUGCCUUAAGCGCACACACACGACACCUGACUCGAGAUACCUCUGAGGCAUGAUGUGGUCCCUGGGCAAAAAUGACUUGGCCCUCCGUAAAGAAAACCACUUAAAAUAAGUAUAAUCUAUAAAAUUUAAUUAAAAGCCAUUUUCUGUCUCUAACUCACUUGUUUUAUCUUAUGUUAGUUUAUGAUUCCAUAACAGCUGUUCUACAGUUCAACACUACCAAUGAACAUAUAAAAACGAUUCCCGAAACUUUACAGCUAAGUAUACAAACCAUAAAAAAAUAGUUCUAUAUACUAAUUCUUUUCCUAUCCCAACCUAUAGCUAACUAUUCUACUGCCUUACAUCUACCAACCUUGGAUCCAUAAGGAGGAUUUGGGAAACCCCAUUAACUGCUUAUCGUAAUUUAACCUAUUGAAUUCCAAUGCAAAGCUCAAAAAGAUGAUAGAAAGGGUAGCGCAUAUAAUCCUACUAUAAGAGUGGGGACAAGUGAGUGAAUAGCAAAACUAAGGUGAAAAGCGAAGCAUUUAAAGUCUCGAAAUAGAACUUGCCUUCUCUGCCAUAAUGGGAUUAUGUUUGCUUCUUCGGAUACAACUACAUGGCCGUUGUGUGAUUUGGCUUGGGUAUGGUUACAAAAAGCAGACGGACAGACCCAUCGCGAACGAAACACGGAUACUAAAAUCCAUACGAAUCGUGACUUACGGGAUGAAAAUGGUUAUCAAAACACCAUGUCACUCCACGCAUCUAAUAAGCCUCCGGUCACCUCCAGCUUGGCACGCGAUCCAAGUUUUCCAAUCGGGACUCAAUCCAGAGGUCAGUAAACUCUGAUCAGUUGCUGGUUGCCGCGAUUUAUUGAUGCGCCAUUCUUGUCGUGGCCUCUGGCGGGCGCUGGCUGUUGGCGUUUAAAGCACCGGCUGUGGCUCCGUCUGGUUCCAACACACCAUGUUCAGAGACAGCUGACAAAAAAAAUCAAAUAUAAACCAGCUCUGGAUGGAACGGAAAAACAGGGUCACGCACUGCUUAAAGCAGCUACAUUGAAAUCUUUCACGCUCGCACUUAUCGCCUUGAUCCGCUCUUCAGUGGGCACUGAGAUACUCCUCACCUUACCUUAACAACUACUCCUCCAUUGUGGAAUGAGAACUAGUCGAAGAUUUCAUUUCAACGUUAUAAAAAUGGUCCAGCCGGUCUUCCUGAAGUAUUGGUCUCCCUUUUGGCAAAGGAUAUUUUCGCCGGCGUCAGUGCUGGAGCGGCUGAGCGAUGUCAACGCCUUCCCUCUUGUCUGUCCGUCCGUCUAGUUGUGGGCCUAAGUUCGUAAAGCGAACACCACAUGCAGUAGGGGCUCCUUUGCGCCCCAAAAGCUAGAACUGCUACUCCUCUGGCCCUAGGUUGAGCCAACCCUAACAGCUUAGGAAAACGCCUAUUUGCUCUCGCGUCGUUUACAAAAAACCUAAGGGAAAGCAAAUUGUCUACAAGUCCUGUCCAUCCGUAGGAGUCUUGUAUGCGUCCCGUAAAUGUAUGCAAGAAGAAAGGGGUACCUGGCGCACUGUCAGCUGACCAGUGCUUGUGAUGUCACCUAGUAGUCGGUUGUUCCAACGUUGGUCAGCGGAGGUGGAGAAGCUUUUAUUUUUGGCGUUUGGUUUUUGUUUUAUUUAGCUUAACAAUUUUAAAUUUUUUCUUUAGCAAUUUUUCUUUCAGGUUUUAAUAAUUUUCAAUUCUUUUUAAUUAUUUAAAGG